AUUGAACGCUGGCGGCAGGCCUAACACAUGCAAGUCGAGCGGAUGAAGGGAGCUUGCUCCUGGAUUCAGCGGCGGACGGGUGAGUAAUGCCUAGGAAUCUGCCUGGUAGUGGGGGAUAACGUCCGGAAACGGGCGCUACUACCGCAUACGUCCUGCGGGAGAAAGAUGGGGAUCUUCGGACCUCACGCUAUCAGCUGAGCCUAGGUGGGAUUAGCUAGUUGGUGGGGUAAAGGCCCACCAAGGCGACGAUACAUAACUGACCUGAGAGGGAGAUAGGUCACACUGGGACUGAGACACGGCCCAGACUCCUACGGGAGGCAGCAGGAGGGAAACUUUGGCAAGAGAGGGAAGUCUGACCCAGCAAAGCCGGGGGAGUGAAGAAGGGUUUCGGAUUGUAAAGCUCUGUUGUGUGGGAAGAAAGAGUGUGAGAGUGGAAAGUUCAUUUUGUGACGGUACCUAAAAAGAAAGGCCCGGCUAACUACGUG
RNAcentral lists this ribosomal RNA (485 nucleotides) under uncultured bacterium. Its description in RNAcentral is "partial 16S ribosomal RNA". It matches the Rfam family "Bacterial small subunit ribosomal RNA", at positions 29 to 507 of the family's 1533-position model. The record is from RNAcentral.